GACGAACGCUGGCGGCGUGCUUAACACAUGCAAGUCGAACGGUAAGGCCCUUCGGGGUACACGAGUGGCGAACGGGUGAGUAACACGUGGGUGAUCUGCCCUGCACUUCGGGAUAAGCCUGGGAAACUGGGUCUAAUACCGGAUAGGACCACUGCCUGCAUGGGUGGUGGUGGAAAGCUUUUGCGGUGUGGGAUGGGCCCGCGGCCUAUCAGCUUGUUGGUGGGGUGAUGGCCUACCAAGGCGACGACGGGUAGCCGGCCUGAGAGGGUGACCGGCCACGCUGGGACUGAGAGGCGGCCCAGAGUCCUACGGGAGGCAGCAGUGGGGGAGAUUGCACAAUGGGCGCAGGCCGGAUGCAGCGACGCCGCGUGAGGGAUGACGGCCUUCGGGUUGUAAACCUCUUUCAGCACCGACGAAGCGCAAGUGACGGUAGGUGCAGAAGAAGGACCGGCCAACUACGUGCCAGCCGCCGCCGUAA
RNAcentral lists this ribosomal RNA (478 nucleotides) under uncultured bacterium. RNAcentral describes it as "partial 16S ribosomal RNA". It matches the Rfam family "Bacterial small subunit ribosomal RNA", at positions 28 to 523 of the family's 1533-position model. The record is from RNAcentral.